This 384-nucleotide long non-coding RNA is filed under the name Equus caballus (horse). RNAcentral describes it as "lncRNA (ENSECAG00000048317.1)". Lineage: Eukaryota; Metazoa; Chordata; Mammalia; Perissodactyla; Equidae. The record is from RNAcentral.
GCAGGACUUGAAUCAGGGUCAUGCCUCUCCUGCUCUCUAAAGUUUUUUGGAGAGAGGGUCUUUACUUUUUCUGCUUAGUUGCCGUUGUGUCCAUUUUUUAAGUAUAUAUUUAAGGCAUUGUUAUAGUGAAGUGAGAAUGAAAAAUCUCCUGGUAAUAUGUCAUCUGAUGAAGAAUCACCAAAGAGAAUGGUCAGAGCUGUAACCUGAACAUGAACAACUUGGUCAUUUACUGGACUCGGGGUUGAGUAGAAGACAGAAUUCAUCAUUUGAAAGGCCUGAGUUUCAGCUCUGGCUCUGCCUCUCAUGAGCUACGCUGCCUAACCCCUCUGAGACUUCGUUUCCUCAUGUGUUUAAGAAAAUUUCUCUGGAGGCUCCUAAAUAAAA